GACGAACCGUGCGAACGUUGUUCGGAAUCACUGGGCUUAAAGGGCGCGUAGGCGGACCCCCAAGUCCGGGGUGAAAUCCUCCGGCUUAACCGGAGAAUUGCCUGGGAUACUGGGAGUCUUGAGGGAGGUAGGGGCACGCGGAACUUCCGGUGGAGCGGUGAAAUGCGUUGAUAUCGGAAGGAACGCCGGUGGCGAAAGCGGCGUGCUGGCCCUCUUCUGACGCUGAGGCGCGAAAGCCAGGGGAGCGAACGGG
RNAcentral lists this ribosomal RNA (253 nucleotides) under uncultured bacterium. RNAcentral's name for it is "partial 16S ribosomal RNA". It matches the Rfam family "Bacterial small subunit ribosomal RNA", at positions 524 to 776 of the family's 1533-position model. The record is from RNAcentral.